This 463-nucleotide unclassified non-coding RNA is filed under the name Hevea brasiliensis (rubber tree). Lineage: Eukaryota; Viridiplantae; Streptophyta; Magnoliopsida; Malpighiales; Euphorbiaceae. The record is from RNAcentral.
GGAGGAAUAGUUUUCCAAAGUUGCUCUUGGGGUGAGCAGGCAUUAUCAAUUGCUCGUGAUGUGCUGCUACCAUUUGGUGAUGACAUGGAGCUCUAUUCAUUUAAAACUAGUCCUCAUGGGUACAUCUAUGUCAGAUUAGACAAACUUCCAAAUAAUUUUGGAUGUCCAAGUAUGGAUGAAAUGGAAGAAUUUAGCCGCCAAUACAAGAAAAGGUUAGACGAAGCUGGUGCACUAGGGAAAAUUCCCGAGGACCUGGCCAUUGAGGUAUCAUCUCCUGGUGCUGAGCGGCUAAUAAAAGUACCAGAUGACUUAUCCCGCUUCAAGGAUAGGCCUAUGAGAGUUAUCUAUAUAGAAGAAAUGAACUCUAGAAAGGUUGAAAAGAAUGGAAUAUUCUUCAUGGAAUCAAUCGAUGCAGAAUCAGGAAGCUGUGUGUGGAAGUUGGCGGACGUGAAGGAGAAUAGAG